RNAcentral lists this ribosomal RNA (513 nucleotides) under uncultured Gram-positive bacterium. Its description in RNAcentral is "bacterial SSU rRNA". It matches the Rfam family "Bacterial small subunit ribosomal RNA", at positions 8 to 521 of the family's 1533-position model. The record is from RNAcentral.
AGAGUUUGAUCCUGGCUCAGGAUGAACGCUGGCGGCGUGCUUAACACAUGCAAGUCGAACGAAGCAAUCUAACGGAAGUUUUCGGAUGGAAGCUAGAUUGACUGAGUGGCGGACGGGUGAGUAACGCGUGGGUAACCUGCCUCACACUGUGGGACAACAGUUAUAAAUGACUGCUAAUACCGCAUAAGCGCACAGGACCGCAUGGUCCGGUGUGAAAAACUCCGGUGGUGUGAGAUGGACCCGCGUUUGAUUAGCUAGUUGGUGGGGUAACGGCCUACCAAGGCGACGAUCAAUAGCCGACCUGAGAGGGUGACCGGCCACAUUGGGACUGAGACACGGCCCAAACUCCUACGGGAGGCAGCAGUGGGGAAUAUUGCACAAUGGGGGAAACCCUGAUGCAGCGACGCCGCGUGAGUGAAGAAGUAUUUCGGUAUGUAAAGCUCUAUCAGCAGGGAAGAAAAUGACGGUACCUGACUAAGAAGCCCCGGCUAACUACGUGCCAGCAGCCGCGGU